Molecule: ribosomal RNA, 468 nt
Filed under: uncultured bacterium
Lineage: Bacteria
Description: partial 16S ribosomal RNA
Rfam family: Bacterial small subunit ribosomal RNA
Source: RNAcentral
GACGAACGCUGGCGGCGUGCUUAACACAUGCAAGUCGAACGGAAAGGCCCUGCUUUUGUGGGGUGCUCGAGUGGCGAACGGGUGAGUAACACGUGAGUAGCCUGCCCUUGACUUUGGGAUAACUUCAGGAAACUGGGGCUAAUACCGGAUAGGAGCCCCUGCCGCAUGGUGGGGGUUGGAAAGUUUCGGCGGUUGGGGAUGGACUCGCGGCUUAUCAGCUUGUUGGUGGGGUAGUGGCUUACCAAGGCUGUGACGGGUAGCCGGCCUGAGAGGGUGACCGGCCACAUUGGGACUGAGAUACGGCCCAGACUCCUACGGGAGGCAGCAGUGGGGAAUAUUGCACAAUGGGCGGAAGCCUGAUGCAGCAACGCCGCGUGCGGGAUGACGGCCUUCGGGUUGUAAACCGCUUUCGCCUGUGACGAAGCGUGAGUGACGGUAAUGGGUAAAGAAGCACCGGCUAACUACGUG